RNAcentral lists this ribosomal RNA (485 nucleotides) under uncultured bacterium. RNAcentral describes it as "partial 16S ribosomal RNA". It matches the Rfam family "Bacterial small subunit ribosomal RNA", at positions 30 to 508 of the family's 1533-position model. The record is from RNAcentral.
AUUGAACGCUGGCGGCAGGCCUAACACAUGCAAGUCGAGCGGAUGAAGGGAGCUUGCUCCUGGAUUCAGCGGCGGACGGGUGAGUAAUGCCUAGGAAUCUGCCUGGUAGUGGGGGAUAACGUCCGGAAACGGGCGCUAAUACCGCAUACGUCCUGAGGGAGAAAGUGGGGGAUCUUCGGACCUCACGCUAUCAGAUGAGCCUAGGUCGGAUUAGCUAGUUGGUGGGGUAAAGGCCUACCAAGGCGACGAUCCGUAACUGGUCUGAGAGGAUGAUCAGUCAACAGUGAAAAGGAGACACGUCCAAGACACUACGGGGGGCAGCCAGGGGGGAAUUUUGAAAAAGGGGGAAAACCUGAAUCAACCCUUGCGGGGGGUGGAAAAAGGGUCUUGGAUUUGAAAAGCUCUUAAAGUGGGGGGAAAGGUCAAAAAGUAAAUACCUUGUUUUUUGCAGCUACCAAACAAGAUAGACACGGCCAAGCUUGGUC